Fundulus heteroclitus (mummichog) is the source of this 324-nucleotide long non-coding RNA. RefSeq lists it as uncharacterized. The transcript has 3 exons. The record is from RefSeq and is a predicted model, not a curated record. Lineage: Eukaryota; Metazoa; Chordata; Actinopteri; Cyprinodontiformes; Fundulidae.
AUUCAUGAUGCAUCCACGUCCCACUGUGACCACCAGCCCAGUGUCCUUUCUGUCAGUCGCUUUGGUCACUGCCUGAUGUCCCCUGCUGCCCGCUAUCAGGCGUCUCAGCUCCAAGCCAGACAGAGUGAAUGCAUGAGCAGCGGCGGCCAUGAAGUGAAACAUGCAAAGCGCCGCCAUCAGAGAACCAACAGGAACAGGUUUGGAACAGGAUGAGCAGAAGGACAGGCGAGCUGUGGCUGGUCCGUUCUGUUGUUUGACUUUAUAAGCAUCUAAAGCAGAGGUCUGACCAGCUGCUGGUCUCUGCAGCUCCUCCAGAGCCACCAU